Molecule: long non-coding RNA, 1074 nt
Organism: Astatotilapia calliptera (eastern happy)
Lineage: Eukaryota; Metazoa; Chordata; Actinopteri; Cichliformes; Cichlidae
Source: Ensembl
AAUGGAUGGACCUGAGGACAGAGGUCCUGAUUAAAAGUGAGGAUGAAUGGGGUGGAAGAGUUUUCCAUCAAUCUGACAAGGAAAUGACCACAGAGAGCAGCAGAGGCUUAGACAUUUUUUUAAAUGACCACAGUGCAAAAAAUUGGAUAAGAGACAGAAACUAUGAUAAACACAGAGAGGAACAUCAUCAGUCAGUCGCCUUUAUAAACUAGGUGCUGUGUGAGAGGGAACAUGAAUGGGUGGUAUAAACGUGAGACAGUCUUCUUGACUAACCUUUGACAGGCUUCGUAUCACAAACAGUGCUGUGAUUGUGAAUAUGGAGUUGUACAACGUUCAGGUGUCACACUGUACAAAGACACGGAGCUAAAAUGGUUCAACAGAUUAAAUCGAGGCACCAAUUAUUUCUCUGGCCUCAGUCAUUGAUUUUUUUUCCAGUCAGCGAACUUGAGUGACGUAUAAAGUCUCAAUAAGUCCUUUUCAAUAAAGCGUAUCAGGAGUACACAAAAGAAAAGAAUGUUGUAAUGCAGUAAAAGUGGUUCAGCAAAAUAUUAAAAAUCAGCUGAGGCACAAGAGCCAGUGUUCACUCUUAAAUCCUGUCUCCAUAAAUAAAAAAAUAUAAAAAAAAUUAUCGUUCUGGUUUUUAUGGUUCCAAAAUUUAUUAAAAAAACAGUUUUGGAUAGAUAAUGAACAAAUAGUAGGAAACCAAAACCUUUCUGUGGUUACACAUUGUGACUAUUUGGAGUGCAUUCUCUUUGUAAUCCAACCUUGUGGCUAGUAUGUGCAUCAUUUAUUAAGCUUAAAAAAAUCCACAAUUACCUUCAAGUUCUGUCCUUGUCUCUCUAUGCUCCCUUUUCCUCCUUCUCUUUCCUCUCAUUCAGCAGCCAGUCACAGCACAAGGCUGCCCCUUCCUGAGCCUGGUACUGCCACAUGUUGCCUCUUAUUAAAAUGAGUUCUUCCUCCCCUCUGUUGCCAUGUGGUUGCUCACAGUGAAUUGCUGGGUUUUUCUCUAUGAUAUUGUAGGAUCUUUAUCUUGUGAUAGAAAGCGCCUUGAGGCAACUGUGGCUGUGAAUUGGC